This 229-nucleotide ribosomal RNA is filed under the name uncultured bacterium. RNAcentral's name for it is "partial 16S ribosomal RNA". It matches the Rfam family "Bacterial small subunit ribosomal RNA", at positions 568 to 796 of the family's 1533-position model. The record is from RNAcentral.
UGCGUAGGCGGGGCAAUUAGUCAGUGGUGAAAUCCUGCGGCUUAACCGUAGAACUGCCAUUGAUACUGUUGCCCUUGAGUAUAGUUGAGGUGGGCGGAAUGUGUAAUGUAGCGGUGAAAUGCAUAGAGAUUACACAGAACACCAAUUGCGAAGGCAGCUCACUAAACUAUAACUGACGCUCAGGCACGAAAGCGUGGGUAGCGAACAGGAUUAGAUACCCUGGUAGUCC